CUCUCCGGACGCACGCAUGCAUUCGUAAUGUUCCGUGCUCGUUUGCUCGGUCGCUCGGUGCUCCCGCUCGCGGCCGAAAAUGACACAUCGCGACGCGCGGGCGACGCGCGAUAACCACGCACGCAUCGAGAGGAGCGUCGUCGGGCAGAAGCAAUGCGGUUUCGCGCACUUGAUCGAGAAAAGAAGUGAUUGAGAAAGAUCGCGGAUUCUCCGGAUAUCGGCCGACUAAGCUCAAUACGGCACGGCGUGACGCGACGCGACGUGCCAGCGGACAAUGGCAAUCUCGAGCUGGGUGAUGUGGGGUAGAAGUCUGCGAACCGGCCGAUCUCACCGAAGCCGCCAGGACGCCGAGGACAACUGUGUGCAACUCGACCUGUCUAGAGGAUUAAAGGAGAACGUCAAGGAAGUCUUGACUAAUCUCUGCCAGCGUCACAAUGUUCCAAGUGUAAAAAAGUUAGCUUACCUCAACGCUAUCGUCAAAUUAAUCAGCGAAACCGAUGCCCAGGAUUAUGGAUAUUCAGCGGACGAUCUAUUUUGUUGCUUACGUGUGGCACUGGUGCACGAGGCGACCCAGGUACGCGCCGCCGCAUUGCGAGCCGUACGCUACAUGCUCAAAAAGGAACAAGAUGUCAUCGCGAUCAACAGACUGCAAUACCCGUACUUCUUGGCGCGCAGCAUGGACGUCAAUCUGCGCAACGAGAUGGAGAGGAUGCAGGCUCUCCGACUCGUCAGGCGGAUCCUGGUGUUGGCCCCUAAGCAUUUCAGUCCGACUUUAGCAAGAUCCCUCAUCAGCCUGACCAACAGCGGCAUAGAGGAGCGAGACCGAGCGUUCCGGGCAUUCCUGGCGACCCUCUGCGAACUAGGUGUCCUGAACUCGAAUCUGCUGAUCAGUUGCGGCGGUGUCGGCACACUGGCAAGAGCCGCGAUGACCGGCCAGAGCGCGGUCGUGGUCGAAUCUAUCGUGGGAGUAUUGCUGAGACUGUUGAGUAACCCGGACACGCGCAGCAGCGUUUCCCUGCUGUGCUUCGCCGCGCCCUACUGCGAGCUGCACUCCUCCAACAUCGAGAGAACCAAGGAGGAGCGCGAGCAGAGGUUCGCCGCCAGCAAAUUGGCCCUGCUGAGCAUUCUGCGUUCGUACCCGGGCGUCAUCCACUUCUGUCGGCCCGACAACAAUUCCGGCCUCAAGGCUAUCGCCGAUAUCCUGUACGUGGAGCAGCUGGAGGUGCGCGGGGCCGUACUGGAGUUGCUUUACGAGUUGUUGGACCUGCCACUGCCCACAUGGACCGACGAGCCGGACGUCGCCCUGGCCGCGGUGGACCCCAGCCGGUCGAGGGAUUCGUGGAAGCUCUCUGAAGGCUUCGUCGCGGCCGAGGGUAAAUUCAUCCUGCCGUCCUUGUCGUCGCAUUGUCCCAACAUCACGGAGAUCCAUCUGGCGCUAUUGGUGUACGUUCUGCUGGAGUGCGGCCUCCACCGCGCCUUGGCGGAGACCAUCGUCUCCAGCGAUACCUUCAUCUCGGUGCGCGCGGCAGUACUGUUGGGCGCACUGCUGCACCUGGCACAUUCGUUGCUGCCGUCUGAAGUCUGCGACCUCACGCCACCCUUGCCGAACCUGCUGGAGCAUGCGAGCGCCGGCAGACAUCAGGCGCUCGCAGCGGUGACGAUCCUUGAGCGAAUGCACACGAUGAUGCGGCGCAGACCGAGUCCGGCGAGUCUCUUCCUAGACCGGAUCCUCCAAGGUGGCACUUGGCUACGACCGACUCUGCCGCGACGCCGACGACCAUCCGGACGGCAUUGGCUGCGGAUCGGCCGCGAGUCGCCGAUCACUCCGUUGCUGAAGGACGCGCAGGUGCUCAUCUCGAAGGACGCGCUCGCGUGGAACUGGCCGAUGAUCCGCGCAAUCCUGCGCUCGAGGGAGGACGCGACGCGCAUCCUGCACGACUCCGACCACCGGCUAUUCAUGAAGCGGCUGGUGCGUUACUUCAAGCCCUCGUGGAACGGUUACAGCAGGAUCGAGCUCGGCACGAGCGCGACGUUCGCGCGCGAGGCCACCUUGGCCGGCUGCGACCUGCUCAACUGCCUGCUGGAGUUGCACGAGCCGGAGGGUGCCCGGCUGCUGAACGAGCUGAUCGGCGACGUAGCCGAGCAGAUCAGCAAGAUCCGCGCCGCCGAGUCCGCGCACGAUUGCUUGUUCUCGCCGCGGCAUAUGUCCACCACGUGCUGCCAAAAGUACUUCUUGUUCCUCGGCCAGCUCAGCCACUCGGCCAAGGGCACAGUGGUGUUGAAGAGCUUCAAUCUCCUGGAGAAGCUGCAGGACCUCGCGUUGGUCACCAACCAUGACUGCUACGUGAAGCUGAUCGUCUCCAGUCUAGAUUACUCCCGGGACGGGCCCAAUAGGAAAGUGCUCAGCAAGAUUAUCACCGAGGCGACGUUGUCGAGCACUCGGCUGUACGCCACGCAGUUCCUCCGGCUGAUACUGCGCGCGCGCAUGACGGACGCCGUGCGCUGGGCGAUGUCGUUGCUCGCGGAGCGGCUGUCGGACGCGUCUAUGGCCGUGGCGUUGACGGCGCUGGACGCGCUGCACGAGGCCUGCGAAGAGACGGAGUACUUGGAGGCGAUGUUGCAGCAAGGUGGGCAGUCGCGCGACUGGGACAAGUGGCUGCAGCACUUGGGCGACAAGGGUUACCUGCUGAAGAUCCGACUGUACUCGCUGCAGCAAGGCUUCGCCAGCCUGUCCGCGCCGGCGGAGGAGCUGGAACGGUGGAUCGGCCCGGGCAGCUUCGCCGAGCGAUACGUGGGCCUGGUGGAGAGCGAGAUACACGACGCGCUGACGCGCCGCCAGCGCGACGAGACCGGCAGCUACCAGAGGAGGACCAGCAACUCGCCGAUAGUGCCGCACGACAUCUUCACGCCGCCGCAUCUCAUCGGCCAGUUGGCGCAGCACGAGUUGGGCAUGCAACUGCUGCUCCGUCGCAACGUCAUACAGCGUUUCGCCCGGGUGCUCCAACGAUUCAAGCUCGAGUUUGGCAGCGGCGGCGGCGGCGGCGGUGGUGGCGGUGGCCGCCGCGACUCCGAGUCCAACAACUCCAGGACCACCAGGACGUGUCGCCUGGUGGUCACCGCCGCCAACGCUACCGCUGCCUCCACCGCCUCUACUGUCGCCAUCACCGCCGUCAGCACUGCCGUCGCCGUCGCCGUCGUCGCCGCCGCCGCCACCGUUACCGUCACCACCGCCGCCAGCAGCAACAGCAACGUUGCCGACGAGGGCAGCCUCGCCGCGCCGACGGACGCGUCCAGUGGCGUGGACGAGACUGCCGAAUGCAGCAGUCGUCUCGAGACCAUCCCUGAUUCCGAGAUGACCGAGUCGCGCACCGACGGCUCGCUCGCCGAAGCCCGCCGCAAGACCAGCGUGGACGACUCCAGGCACACCACUCCGGAGCGCAGCUGGAGGAUAGAGACGAUCGAAGCGUCGAGGGACGAGCAGCAGCACUCCAGCGUCGGUCCCAACGGCGGCAUCCUCAAGGUCAAGUCCGCUCUGUGGGCGUUGGGCCACGCCGGCACGUCGGCCGCCGGUGUCGAACACCUCGUGCACUUGGGCAUCGUCGAGAUGAUCACCUCCAUGGCAGAGACGUGUCCGUAUUACUCGGUGCGCGCCACCGCGAUGUACGCACUCAGCCUGAUCGGCACCACUCGCGCCGGUGCUGACGCCUUGAUCAACUUUGACUGGCCGUGCGUGAGGCACCGGCGGGGCGACAACUGGCCGGUGGUACCGCCCACCACGAGGUACCCGGUGCCCAGCCCGGUGCCUGUGCAGCGACAUCAUCGCAGUCUCAGCGAUGGCAAGCCGGAGCUACCGGAGCCGAUCGCGCGCCGGACCAGGAACCGAUCCGAAAGUGCGGCGACGGACCUCGAAGCGCGGCGAUACGUUCUUCCAGAGAGAGGCGAAACCCCGAGUCCCGUCUCGAGUAUACAAAGAUUAAGCCAACAAGACGCUGAAGGAUACGCGCGAUUACGUAGUUUACAACGCUAUCGCAGGCCGAGUUACUCCCAAAGUAGCUUAGAAAUGUAUAGUUUAGAUGGUCGGUUGUCGUUGCAAAGUCUCUCGGAGCUGGACUCGUCCCGCAGCUGGAUCGCGGAGAACACGAUCCUCACCCCGACGCCGCCGCCGCCGCCGGAGGACGACAGCGAGAAUCUGUUCUACAUGGGCGUCUGCCUACCCAGGAGGCUGAUCACCAUCUUCCCCGAGCCCCCUCAACCGACGCAGCCCAACAUCUUCGAGGACAUUGUCCGAUCCGAGCUGGAGACUACGGAGAUCGACGAGGAGUCCAGCUCGGAGUGCGACCCGGACACCGAGCACUGUCGCACGUGUCUCGUUUGUUAUCACGGCAAGAGCAGCACCAGGGACACCACGGAGCAGGAUGUAAAGUUGCGAAGAGAGAUACUUAGGCAUACCCAACGGCUCGCAAACCCAGUGUGGUAUCGUCAUAGUCGUCAGGCGUUGCUCAGACUGAGGCAACGUUAUCCUGAGAAGUUUCAGGUACUGUCGCAUCCUUCGCUUCCUUUUAUUCCCUCGCUGGAAAACUGCCCCGACGUGCUCGGAAGGAGUGCUUUCUUACUUCCCUUGAUACCUGUUUAUUUUCGGAUGUAGCCGCACGUUUGGGCAGCGGUACAUAUAGAAUGCCAGCCCGGCGAUUCCUGCAAGAAUUAUUUCUAGAUUCUCCAUUCGAGGCGCUUUACAUGGAACCGGUCAACAUUCUGAAGAUUCCGAUCGGCACUGAGGAGAAUCCACCGCAGUCGUCAGCUGUUAUCGCACCCGAGGCUAGCCCGCGUCAGGCCGUCGGCCUCGCAGAGGGCAAGGUCAAUGGAAGGCUCACACUGACUGAGAUACAAACGGUGCAAUUGGCGUCGGUGGCCGAAGAGGGC
RNAcentral lists this unclassified non-coding RNA (4920 nucleotides) under Harpegnathos saltator (Jerdon's jumping ant). RNAcentral's name for it is "rapamycin-insensitive companion of mTOR, transcript variant X1". The record is from RNAcentral. Lineage: Eukaryota; Metazoa; Arthropoda; Insecta; Hymenoptera; Formicidae.